RNAcentral lists this long non-coding RNA (285 nucleotides) under Elaeis guineensis (African oil palm). RNAcentral describes it as "long non-coding RNA (EGUI_LNC054179)". The record is from RNAcentral. Lineage: Eukaryota; Viridiplantae; Streptophyta; Magnoliopsida; Arecales; Arecaceae.
UGAUCAAAUCAGGGACUAAACUACCUUAGCGAUUAGAUCAACAUUUAACCUAAUCGGGUCAAUCCAAACUGAAUCCAAUUCAAUUGGACUUGAUCUAAAAAUAAUUACUCAAUCAAAUUGAGUUAAUUAGCGAUCAAAUUACUAAUUAAACCUCUCAUAAAUAUUGAGUCCAAAUCCGAUGGACAAUUAGGCAUCAGAGACCAUCGAUAUGAAACCCUGAUCAAAGAGUUCAAAUUUCAAAUUCAAAAUUUGAAAUUCAAAAUUUUGACCCCGGUACCCAAAAUG